Molecule: long non-coding RNA, 1002 nt
Filed under: Phasianus colchicus (ring-necked pheasant)
Lineage: Eukaryota; Metazoa; Chordata; Aves; Galliformes; Phasianidae
Description: lncRNA (ENSPCLG00000000803.1)
Source: RNAcentral
UAUGUCUGUGUGUGUGGUGUGCAUGCUGUUCUUUAAAAAAGCUGUGGUAGGCCUCCUAAGAAAUUAUGGGGAUUUUUAUCCUCCUGCUUCUUCUUCCUUCAGCAAUCAGCAUGAGAUGGUGGUCUACAUGUCUUUGAAGUUUGUUGUAAGAUAUGUAUAUGUAUCUCAUAUAUGCAAAUAUAUGUAAAUAUUUUAAGAUUUCUAUGCAGUAAAAUGUACUGGUGUUUAUAUACAUAAAAUUAUGUAUAUUUUUACCUAUUUUCUUGCUUAGAUCAGGCUUUAAAAACUUUUCUUUCUUUGUAUUCUUUUCACCCUAUGUUCAGAUUCACUAUUUUCUUAAAUCCAGAAGCAAAACUGUGAGUUUUUUUUUCUCAUCCCAAUUUACAGCAUCUGGUACAAUGGAGGUUUCUUCUCCAGAAAAAUUGCACAAAAAUUCAGUGCUUUGCCAGAAUCUCUAGAGCGCCUGCUAAAUACUUAACAAAAGACUUGUUUUGACAAAGGAAUAUCACCCCUAAUCGUCAAAUUCAUUCCCCCCGCUCAAAAAAAAAAAAAAAAAAACAAAACAAAAAACAAAAAAAAACUGGGAAAAGAUGACUGGGUAAUAUUUUCAGCCAGCAGUCAGGCCUUUGAAAACUUAAUUGUGGGCAGUUAGAGCUAAAUGCUGCAUUUUUGUCUUAUCAGUCACCGUUUCAUGGAUUUCAUUAUUUUCCAGAGUUGCUAGCUUUCAGUACUUUAAACAUAAUUUUUGACAUGUGGGGAAGAUGGACGUGACAGCACAGUGUUUGGAAAGAAAACUGCUGAGCUGAUUUCCUCAUGGUGUGUGCUGAGUGCAUCCUUGAUGUGAAACAAUCACAAGUGCUUGCUGAAGUGGUGAUGUUCUUAUAUACCAGGAAUGCUGAAGCUCCAACAGUCACUGCUACCUACCGUCUCUUCAUCAUUUUGUACCACCUCCCCCUCUGCUAUUCUCGGAUUCAAAACAUCAAAGAACAAAUGGUGGAAUAA